AUCUUCAUCGCUUCGAUGUUCUUCAACAACAUCUGAAGAAUUUUCGGGAGAGUCAAAACAAAAUGCACCAAGUAUUUCAACAGUCCCUUGACGAUUUUGCUAGCAACUUUUAGGAAAGUUUCAACCAAUUCGAAGAUAAAAUCUGUGACGUACAAGACGAAGAUGCAGUUGCUGUGGAACAAAAAUAUGAAAUCAAGCCUGCUCAGCUUAUUCUUUCCUAUGUACCCAAAAAUCCCGAACCAUUUCUACUGUUCUCUACUCCUUCCCUAAGAAUCUCGUGUUCAUCUCUUCAUCUCAGAAAGUAUUUUUUCUCUUAUUCCUUCCUGUCGGUCACCACUAGCAAUAGAGACCCAUUAAUCGAAAGAGGCCUAACCAUCAUAUGGGGGUUCGAUCUCGGUGGCAUCGAUCACGGCCUUCAAGACUUCGACAGCUCUCUCUUUUCUUUCUCUUGCUACGGCAAGAGGAUGAACUCGCUCUCACUUCCAUUCCAUCUUAAGCACACAGUGACAUACUAGAUCUAUUCCACCACUCAGCCUGUUGUCAUGUGUCUGAUGCUCCGAGAUUCAAUGGCAUUGACGACAGCAAUCCGUUGCCCAUUUUCUCCACACCAGCUGAUAUGCACCAUUUCCCUCUCCUCGAUCGGACUCGCAACUCAGAAAAAGAAAUCCCUCUACUACCAUCUAUCUAACCCAUAAGACAUUUUGGCAGCAGAGGAGGCCCUGAACCAAUCAUCACCACCUGGAUUACAAGAUGAAAAGGUACCACACAGCAAAUUGAAUUUCAAGUAAGGAAAAUACAAUGUGUUCACAAGCCCCUUCCAACUGUACCCAUCAAUCUUGAAAAUCUAAUAGAUUACUUUGAGCCUAAUAUGUUUGAUGAAAUGCUGGAAAGGUUUAGAUUGGGUUGGUGCAUCUCGUUUUUUAGAAGGCUCCUAGCUAAAUAAACAAAGAGUGAGGAAAAUGUAGUAGAGGAGGUACCUCUCAUAAUUGAUGGCUCAAGGAAAAAUAAAGAAAGUGGGAUACCCAUGGAUGGUUUUGACGGUGCCAUGGUGGGUGGUAGGCCUCACUUGGGAAUAGAGAGAUUGAAUUUUUUGCUUUGCAACUUUCGGCAACAUCUACAUGUAUUGGGGGUCACUAUCAUGUUUGGGACCAAAGGGGUUACUUAUUGCCUGUGUUUUUCCAAUCGACUAAAUUUGUAUCUCUACAAGCUUGCAAUUAAUCUGAUCCCAUUCCCUCGUUGGCACUCCUUCAUGGU
Juglans microcarpa x Juglans regia is the source of this 1254-nucleotide long non-coding RNA. RefSeq lists it as uncharacterized. Lineage: Eukaryota; Viridiplantae; Streptophyta; Magnoliopsida; Fagales; Juglandaceae. The record is from RefSeq and is a predicted model, not a curated record. The transcript is spliced from 2 exons.